This 459-nucleotide ribosomal RNA is filed under the name uncultured bacterium. Its description in RNAcentral is "partial 16S ribosomal RNA". It matches the Rfam family "Bacterial small subunit ribosomal RNA", at positions 338 to 795 of the family's 1533-position model. The record is from RNAcentral.
CCUACGGGAGGCAGCAGUGAGGAAUAUUGGUCAAUGGUCGGGAGACUGAACCAGCCAAGCCGCGUGAGGGAGGAAGGUACAGAGUAUCGUAAACCUCUUUUGUCAGGGAACAAAGGCGGGGACGUGUCCCCGGAUGAGUGUACCCGAAGAAAAAGCAUCGGCUAACUCCGUGCCAGCAGCCGCGGUAAUACGGAGGAUGCGAGCGUUAUCCGGAUUUAUUGGGUUUAAAGGGUGCGCAGGCGGUCUGUUAAGUCAGUGGUAAAAGCCCGGGGCUCAACCCCGGCCCGCCGUUGAAACUGGCAGUCUCGAGUUGGAGAGAAGUAUGCGGAAUGCGCGGUGUAGCGGUGAAAUGCAUAGAUAUCGCGCAGAACUCCGAUUGCGAAGGCAGCAUGCCGGCUCCACACUGACGCUGAGGCACGAAAGCGUGGGUAUCGAACAGGAUUAGAUACCCUAGUAGUC